This is a long non-coding RNA of Panthera uncia (snow leopard), 554 nucleotides long. RefSeq lists it as uncharacterized. The record is from RefSeq and is a predicted model, not a curated record. The transcript is spliced from 3 exons. Lineage: Eukaryota; Metazoa; Chordata; Mammalia; Carnivora; Felidae.
GAGGAGGCGGGAGAUCAGGGGCCGAGAACCGGGCACUCCGACUCUGAAAGGUCAAGUUAGUGAGAAGGAAUCCGCAAAGGAAACUGGAAAACCCGAGGCUAGGGAGGUUGCUUAAAGAAGUGAUGUCUGCGCUCAGAGUGCCUGACUCUUUGCCUCCCAGUUACACACAGUCUGGUAUCUGUCCCCACAGCUCCUUGAAAACGGCUGAAACUAUUCUGGCAAAGGCCUGCAUGACACCCCAUUCUCCUGGGUUACCUCCUACUUCAAUGGCUAUUCCUUCUUAAUAUCUUGGGUAACUGCUUCUCCUCUGCUUAACAUCAGAAUGUUGAGAGAAUCCAAACUUCACCCUCGACCUGGAUCUCCCCCUGGGCCAUCUCCCCCAUUGUGUUAAAUUCCAUCUACGGGCUGCUGGCUUCCAGAUUUUUAUCUGAAUCUGACCUCUCCCUUGGGCUUCAGAUGCAUAUAUCCCAUUGCCUCAUCACUCACAGGGAUGUUUAAUAAAUAUCUCAAACUUAAUGUGGUCAAAACAGGACUCCUGAUUUCCAGCUCCAGAU